RNAcentral lists this ribosomal RNA (252 nucleotides) under uncultured bacterium. RNAcentral's name for it is "partial 16S ribosomal RNA". It matches the Rfam family "Bacterial small subunit ribosomal RNA", at positions 524 to 775 of the family's 1533-position model. The record is from RNAcentral.
UACGUAGGGGGCGAGCGUUAUCCGGAGUUACUGGGCGUAAAGCGCACGCAGGCGGUCGUGCAAGUUUGGGGUUACAGCUCCCGGCUCAACUGGGAGAGCGCCUUGAAGACUGCGCGACUUGAGGGCCAAAGAGGGACACAGAAUUCCGGGUGUAGUGGUGAAAUGCGUAGAUAUCCGGAGGAAUACCAAAGGCGAAGGCAGUGUCCUGGGUGGUACCUGACGCUCAGGUGCGAAAGCUAGGGGAGCGAACGG